AAGCUGGCAUGGCAAGCUUUCCCCAGGUACUGACUUCCACAACUAAAAACUUACUGCAGUUUAAUUAGCGUCUUAUCUUCGUUUCAUUACAAUCUAAAUCAAAAUUAGUUUUUUUUUUCAAGAAUAAAUCACAAUUAGUUGACAUCUCAGCUUCCACAUUCGAGACAUCCAUAGGAUUAUAAAUCUAGCAUCGUCUCUGUCUGAUAAUCAUAAAAUCACCUAAAUAAAAUAAUGCUUUUCCACCCACUCUCAUGCCAGCAGUUUUAGCUCCAAUAGUUGGUGUAUGAUUAGUCUUUAAAUAACAUAGUCAAGACUGGCAGGAUCAGCAGAAACCCAAUUCUUUUUUUCGGGUUUUUUGGAUUAAAAAUCUUCCCACAAUAUAGAUGAUGCCAGAAACCAUCAUAUGAUCGGGUUGCAGCUUCCCAUGUGAAAUUAUGAGGGCUCGUUUAUGUGUGAUAAGCGUUAGUGCGAAGAGCUCGCUGACAUUUAUGUGUAACAUGAUUUGUGGCGGGAAGAAGACAGAGCCGCCUCCAAUAAUAAGAACCCACCGUCCAAUUGACAGUGUCCUACAACUGUAGGACAGGUCCACCACUAAAAAGCCCCAACCAUCCGAAUAAUUGAAGACCACAAUUGAAGAAGGAAAAUGUUAAGUAUCAAGAAAAAUGAGAGAAGGAUGAGAUAAUGAAGUAUGUGGUGGGAGGAGAGAGAGAAAAAAAAAAGCUAACAGCAGAGAGAGAGAGAGAAGAGGCAAUUCUCUCAUUAUUCUCUAGUUGUUUUUUAUAUUUAGAAUCCCUCGUUGACGAAACCCCUCACUUCCGUAAGAAGACUUGACUUAGAUCAAAUAUAAAAGCUUUUCUUUUGCUUUGGUUGGAAAUCAAGUGAGUUUGGUGUUUCCGAAAAUUUGAAGAGAUUUUUCUACUAAUAAUAUAAAUUUGAAAGAAUUCCCUUCAUAAAUCAAUUUAAAAACUCUUCCAAUAUUUUCUUUAGACUUUCAGUUUCACAGAAUUUGAAAUAUAUAGAUCCUUGAUCCUUUUUGAAUUUCAACCAAACGUAAUUUACAAGUAGAGAUAAGCAAUUUUUCUAGUGAAAAUUUUGGAAAAUGAGAGUAACAAGAACUUGUCCAUAAAUUAACCAAACAAAUCAUUCCUUUGAUCUAUCUUUCUUACUUCGUGAUAGUAAUUUUUUUUUUUUUAAUAAAUCUCAAGAGAGCUAAAAAUUUAUUAAAUGAAAAAGAAGGUACAAAGUCCGUUUAAAAGCUACAAAGACAAAAAAAAAGCUUAUAAAACAAUACUAAACCAUAAUGGAAUUAAAAAAAUCGGUACUUAGGAAUCCCCAAAGUAUCAUCAAGUAGAGACUUUUUAAUUUUUGAGGGAGAAAAAUCUCACCAAGUAAUAUCGGAAAAACCUAAACUGAUGUUGACUAAAGUGUGAGCAACAUCAUUGCCUUCUCUGUAGAUAUGGGAAUAACAAAAAUGCAUAGAUUUUAUCAUAGUUAGGUAAUUGAGUUAUCUAGUGCGGAGCUGCCAAGGAGGCGAGAAUAUGUCACUUUUUAGGUAAAAAUAAGCAGUUAUCUAAUCACAUUCUAACCACAAUGAAUGUUAGCCCUUGUGGUAAGCAAAUUCGAUAGCACAAAUAAUAGUAUAAAGUUCUGCAUAAAAGGAAGUUUGAUUCACAAUUGACAUUGAGAAGUAGCCCAAAAAAAUUUCAUGAGGACCUCUAUAAAUAGCGUUACCAGAAGCUCGACCUGAAUUUCCUUUAGAAAGACCGUCAGUAUUAACUUUAACCUAAGAAAAGAUGGGAGGAUGCCAUAGUAAAAAGUUAGAUAAUUGAUUCUCUCACUCACGCAAAUUUUGAAAGAAUAAUUUAAUUAAUUCGUGUUCGCACAUUGAGUGAGGUGUGUGAAGGGGGGAGAGAGAAAAUAUAUAUUGAACAAUCAUACAGUGAAAAUGAUCAAUAAAACAUGAAUCACAAAUUAACGUGUUGUUUUCACCAUUUUUUUUUUUACUUUUUGCCUCUCACAUUUCUCGCUUUAUAUAUUUACCUACAAGUUUUUCCCUGUCUUUAUUUUUUAAUUAAAGUUCUUCAUUUUUUUAAAAGAGUUAAAAAAUAUCAAACCCAAAAAAAAAAAAAAUUUUGUUGUCCAAAUAAAGUAAAAAAAAAAAAAUCGUUAUUUUGUUGUCAAAAUAAACGUUAUUUAAAAAAAAAAAAAAAGCAACUUUCAACUUUUCAGUAAGAUUCGUCAUACCCAAAAAUCAACAUGAUCCAUCUUAAUCUCUCCUUUGAUGAUUGACGCUAACAUAUUGACUAUUCAUAAACCAUUAGGGCUCCCAUUGUCUUCACGUCCUCGUUUAAUAACAAAGAUAGAAUCUAAAGAUCCAGGAACAUGCAAUACGCGUACACAAAGCUGGAAGCCCAGACCAAACCCCCAGAAACGCAACCAAUGGAAUCGCAAAACAAAUACACGCCAGAGCACCAAACGCCCCCCGUCACGUGGCGGUGGGCAUCCACAAACAGAAUGUUUUUUAUUGCGUGAUGCAUUGCCUUCAAUAGCUUUCAUCAAUUAUCCCUAGCUCAUGAAGCCAAAAUAAAUAAGAUUACAAAUGCCCAUACUAACUGGGCUUUCCGCUCUCUUACGAAACUGAAGCCGAACAUGUGCUCGUGUCGGCUUACAAGGAAAACACACAUGGAAGAGAUGCCGCAAAAAUCGAAGAAAUUCGAUGAUUUGGGUCACAAUUCGACAUCAUCCCCAUGUGCCCGCCUAAUGCAUACGAGAAUCCAAGCACAAGUUUAAUUAUCAUAUGGGGUCUGCUACUCGAUCGGUUUCAACAUAGAAAAGGACCUUAGGCCCCCAAAUUUAUCCGCAUUCAUUUCCAACAACUGCUUCCUUCUCCUUAGCUUACCCGGUCCCUUAUUCAUUCAAUCCUAGCCAUUCGAGAUAAGGAAGAGGACGCACCUAUAUUUGCACAAUUCCAUUAAUUUGUCUCGCAAAUUCUUUGGCAAGAAAUUAACUUAUUCUUAAAAAGAUUAUGCAUUUAGAUAGAAUCAGAAUUAGUUUACAUUAUUUAAAUAUGCUAUUUCACUUAGUAUUUUACUAAUGGAAUUGUUUUGCCAGAUUUUGUCAGCAAACAGUUUUGGUGAAGUGAACCCUGUAAUCAUUCUGACAGCCGAAUAGCGGAGGAAUGCUGCCCGGACAAUAAAGUCAGAAACCUAGCUAAAUAAACAAAUGAAAGAUACAAUAUAGUUAGUGACUGUUUAAAAAGCAAAGCAAACGCUGCAUAUUCUUUCAAGUACCCUUUAAUUUAAUUUAAUAUAAUUAAUUGC
Molecule: long non-coding RNA, 3320 nt
Filed under: Citrus maxima (pomelo)
Lineage: Eukaryota; Viridiplantae; Streptophyta; Magnoliopsida; Sapindales; Rutaceae
Description: long non-coding RNA (CMAX_LNC003226)
Source: RNAcentral